GAAAACAAUUGAUUAAUUAAGCUACAAGAAACUAAUAAAUUAAUAAAAACUAAUUAUAAAAGACAGUGCAUGUUAAUAUAAAAGGUGUUUGUGAAGAUAACCAUGGGCCUCAUGGCCCAAAUGGCUAAAAUUUAAUCCUAGAUUGAAAUGGUUUAAAAUAUGAUUAUUAUAGAAAAAUGAAAGAAGUAAAAAGAAAAAUUGGUACAUAGGGAGGAGGCCGACACUGACCUCAACGUGAUUCAAAAAUAAAUAAAACCUUUUUUUAAAAAAAAGUAAACAAAUAAGUUGAUUACCCACCAUAUUAAUUCAAAAUCCAUUUUGACCUUUCAAACAUGUAAAAACACAGACACUUUGUUUACAGGAUAAACCAAACAAACUCAUGAAAUCUCAAAAUAGAUUUUCUCCUUCUCUUAAACUCAAACACAAGUGCAGACUUGCCUCACUCUCAUUCUCAUGGAAGCAUCAUAUUUAUCAAUUAUAGCAAACAACUUUGAACAUUAAUGAAUCAAAAAUUAAAAGGAAAAGGGGGAUGCCCAAGAAAAUAUGGUGGUCGCAUGGAGGGAAGUGGUAUGCGUUCUCCGGCAGUCAGUAAGAUGGAGGCGGGCAGUAGACUUGAUACUAUGUGGUUGUGGUUCUCAAUCGGAAACCGCAAAGAUGAAGGUUUUUCGAUGUGGUGAUCAAGUGCAUUGCUCGGUUGAAACAAUUUUGGAACCAUAACCUUCUAUUACAUGGAGAUCACUACCGUCAAAAUGAAGUUUUUACUACAACACGACGGUGUUUUCCGCAACCAUUGCAGAUGCAACCGUCAAACCAUCGUCGAAUCAGUUUUGGAGGAUCACUGGUUAGUUAUAGUUUUUUUACCUGAGUGUGAAAUCUCUCAACUAACCAUGUGGUUCUUGAAGUUGGUUAUGGUUUUAUAAAUGGAUGAAAGGUGUUGUUUUAAGAAGAUGACGGAUCAGGGAGGUUAGGGAUGACAAAAUGUGAGGAGGUUUGAAGUUGUGUUUGAGUUGAAGUAUUUAAGUUGAUGGUUGUAUGGUUGAUAAUGAAAAAAAGUAGGUAGAGAGGUGUAUCAAGUUUUGUUUUUGUUCAUGUUUUCAUGGGGAUAUGGUAGUACGCAAUGUUGUUUAGUGUGGUUAAAGUGCUCUUUAGUGAGUAUGAAGUUGAAUGGUGGUUGAUUUAAAAAGUAGCAGUAAAGUGGUUUUGAGGCUUUAUGGUGUUAUGGAUGGUUAUUCAUGUUUAUAUGUUGGUGAGAGUUCUUGAGGGUUUCAUGGAGCAUUGUUUUCAUGAAAGGUUGGAGGAAAAUGGUUACAUGGAGAAUGGGCUUUUAUGGAGAUAUGUUAAAGAGGUUUAUGAGUCUCUUUAUUUGAUGAUGGAAGUUCACAUAGCACUUCUUCUGUUUCUUCCCAAUGUUGAGAAGGUGAUAUCAAAAAAAACGUAUGCGCCGCGUGGUUUUUUUUUUUCAUCAGCCUCUUUAGGAUUUAUAUAGUGUCAAAUUAGGGUUGCUUAAUUUGAGACAAAUACCAAAAUGUCCCUCUUUUCAAAGUUUUAGAACAAAAUAAGUUUUAAGAACUAAAUUAAAAUUAAAUAAAAUUAUUCUAAAAAAACUAUAUUAAACUGAAAUAAAGAUGUAGAAAAUUCUAAUUAAUUGUUACGGACAUUUUGACAGAGAAAUAAAAAUAAACAGACUUAAAAUAAAUAAACAUCGGACGCAAAAGUGCUUGAAAAA
Molecule: long non-coding RNA, 1726 nt
Filed under: Lathyrus oleraceus (garden pea)
Lineage: Eukaryota; Viridiplantae; Streptophyta; Magnoliopsida; Fabales; Fabaceae
Description: Pisum sativum (pea) long non-coding RNA (PSAT_LNC024601)
Source: RNAcentral